Molecule: long non-coding RNA, 156 nt
Organism: Hibiscus syriacus
Lineage: Eukaryota; Viridiplantae; Streptophyta; Magnoliopsida; Malvales; Malvaceae
Exons: 4
Source: RefSeq, a predicted model, not a curated record
GUCCCAUGUUUUUAUGCUUAGAUCAAAGUUGUUGACUCAUGUGAUGACUCAAUAGAUGAUAUUCUUAUUUCUUUCGAGACUAAGCACCGUAGGAAACUGCUUUAUAGUAUCUCUUUUUUAUUGAAGAGCAAAUUCAAGGGGAAUUGAGAAGGAAAU